This 206-nucleotide ribosomal RNA is filed under the name uncultured bacterium. RNAcentral describes it as "partial 16S ribosomal RNA". It matches the Rfam family "Bacterial small subunit ribosomal RNA", at positions 568 to 774 of the family's 1533-position model. The record is from RNAcentral.
CAUGUAGGCGGAUUGAUAAGUUUGAAGUGAAAUCCUAUAGCUUAACUAUAGAACUGCUUUGAAAACUGUUAAUCUAGAAUGUGGGAGAGGUAGAUGGAAUUUCUGGUGUAGGGGUAAAAUCCGUAGAGAUCAGAAGGAAUACCGAUUGCGAAGGCGAUCUGCUGGAACAUUAUUGACGCUGAGACGCGAAAGCGUGGGAGCAAACA